UACGUAGGUGGCAAGCGUUGUCCGGAUUUACUGGGCGUAAAGAGCGCGCAGGCGGUCGUUCAAGUCGCGUGUGAAAUCCCUCGGCUCAACCGGGGAACUGCGUCCGAUACUGGUGGGCUCGAAUCCGGGAGAGGGAUGUGGAAUUCCAGGUGUAGCGGUGAAAUGCGUAGAUAUCUGGAGGAACACCGGUGGCGAAGGCGGCAUCCUGGACCGGUAUUGACGCUGAUGCGCGAAAGCCAGGGGAGCAAACGGG
This 253-nucleotide ribosomal RNA is filed under the name uncultured bacterium. RNAcentral describes it as "partial 16S ribosomal RNA". It matches the Rfam family "Bacterial small subunit ribosomal RNA", at positions 524 to 776 of the family's 1533-position model. The record is from RNAcentral.